This 350-nucleotide unclassified non-coding RNA is filed under the name soil metagenome. RNAcentral's name for it is "partial contains 5.8S ribosomal RNA, internal transcribed spacer 2, and large subunit ribosomal RNA". The stretch from base 1 to 120 matches the Rfam family "5.8S ribosomal RNA", at positions 35 to 154 of the family's 154-position model. The record is from RNAcentral.
GAUUAAGAACGUAGCGAACUGCGAUAAGUAAUGUGAAUUGCAGAAUUCAGUGAAUCAUCGAGUCUUUGAACGCACAUUGCGCCCCCUGGCAUUCCGGGGGGCAUGCCUGUCCGAGCGUCAUUGCUGCCCUUCAAGCCCGGCUUGUGUGUUGGGUCGUCGUCCCCCCCGGGGGACGGGCCCGAAAGGCAGCGGCGGCACCGCGUCCGGUCCUCGAGCGUAUGGGGCUUUGUCACCCGCUCGAUUAGGGCCGGCCGGGCGCCAGCCGGCGUCUCCAACCUUCUAUUUUACCAGGUUGACCUCGGAUCAGGUAGGGAUACCCGCUGAACUUAAGCAUAUCAAUAAGCGGAGGA